CAUUCAUCAGCCUAGUAGUGAAGUUUUUGAGCUUUUCCAUGACCUCUGCCUUCUUUCGUCUGGGGAGACGGUAUAUUUUGGUCCAGCAUCUGAAGCAAAUCAGGUUAGGAAUAAAAUCCUUGUAGCACAUAUUGAUUUUAAGUUAACUAAAUACAUGCAUAGUGACAUUGAUUCGUGCAGUUUUAUGCUUCAAAUGGUUUCCCUUGCCCAACUCUCUAUAAUCCUUCUGAUCACUACUUAAGGAUCAUAAACAAAGAUUUUGAACAGGUAUGUAUAUUUGCAAACCCUGAGUUUAAAUAGUGUUUAUUUGAAAGCUCUGGGAACUUUAGAUGUAUCAUAUACUACAGUAUAAUAAUUUAUGUUUUACUUCUAAUUUCUUUGUCACCAAACAGUAGAAUUAGAGGUUUUUCCUUUCUAAACUUUUGUUGCUAAUUUGGUUUGUUUAUUGUGACAUUUUACAGUUAAAUAUAUACAAAACCUUCUAGAUUAGAAGGAAAAAACAGUUGAAAAACUGAAACAUAAUUGAUUCAUCUAAUUUGUUUUCAGGACACUGAAGAAGGAUUUGGUAAAGUAGUAAUUACUGAAGAAGCAAUUGGUAUCCUUGUAAAUUCUUAUAAGGCGUCAGAAAUUAAAAGCCAAGUUCAGAUCGAAGUGACAAAAAUAAGUGAAAGUGUAAGUAUCAUAGUAAAUUACUCAAUUAGACUUGGACUAUAAAAACACAGAAUAUAGCACACUUUUCAAAGCCAACAUCAAGCUCUAUAGGCAAAUUCUGCUAGAGAUCACUUUGAUAGAUGGUUAAGCAUAGAUCAAUACUUGAAAAUCGUUUGAAACUUCAACGAGGAUAAAUGUUGCCUUCUGAAAGUAGAAGUUCCCGCCCUCCUCAUCUUCACGGCUGAGGUGGUGACUUUAUCAAUGUCAGUUUUACAAAAAUAAGUGAAAACAAAUAUGUCUCAAAGCUCAAUUCAUAUUAACUUUUCCUUAUUUUUGUAGAACGGGCACAUAUUAGGUUAUAUCUUAGUAGUAAGAAUGUGGAAGACCAUGAAUUUCUACUUCCAAGGGUCGUCGCUAGAGUUUAGAGUGAAUUUUAAGUAUUAAUCCACCAAAGACCACAUAUCAAGAUGGUCAACCACAGAAACAGUGUGAACUGCAUGAUUUAACUAUCUGUUUCAUGAAAUUGUAUGUGCUAGGAUUUGGGUGCAAUAAGGAAUAGGAGGAUCCAUGCUCCAUUUCAAACUCAGUGCAUGGUUCUUAUAAAAAGAUCUUCUCUGCAAUUGUAUCGUGACAUAAGCAAUUACUGGUUACGUCUUGCUGUCUUUAUUGCUUCGGCUAUAAGCCUGGGCUCUAUCUUCUAUCACGUCGGUACAAGUAAUCCAUCUAUUCAGGUAAUAUACGAUAUGAAUCAUAUGAUAAUGAAGCAUGCUUUAAAAGAGAAAUAAACAUCUUAUAUCACUCGUAAUAUAAAACGUCUUUAGUUGUAAUGAAAUAUAGUUUACUCUCGUGUUUAUGAGGCUAGUUGAACAAGGCCUUACAAAUAUUUCUUUACUAUUUUUAUGUGUAUCAAAGUAAUGAAAUAUAGUUUACUCUCAUGUUUAUGAUGUUUAAAGUCUUUCUCUGUGUUAGUUAAUGAUGUACUAAAUAUGCUAGUAAGACAAUCUCUUAACACAUUAUUCCUUAUUAUUUGAAAUUCAUAUACUUAUAUGGAACCAUAAUUCAGUUGGACUCUGUCAAUUUCAACCAGAAAAAAAUGUGUUACAAAAAAUGUGUUAGAGAAUAUGUUGUUAACACUCUGGUGAUUUAUAAACUUGAACUGUAAUUUUAUCCUCUUACAUGGUAUAUGCUUCAUGGUAUGUUUCAGGUCAGAGGGUCGCUAAUUUCGUUUUUUAUAUCACUCGUGUCUUUCAUGACACUUGUUGGUGGAUUCUCUCCCUUGAUUGAGGAAAUGAAGGUAAAUUUCUUGUCUUUCAUAAAUUGAAGCUUCAGUGCAUUGAACUCUGAGGUUUAUUUUUUAAAAAAAUUGUUUAAUUUUUUUUAUUGAGUCAUAUCAAUUUUUUUGGUACAUGAUUGAGUUAUAUCAAUUUAUGAAGACAAGAAAAAUAAAACUAACUAUGGGCAAUAUUGAUUGAGUUAUAUCAAUUUAUAUAAUUUUGGAUACAAAUGCAUCUGCAAUAUUGAUUUCAUUUCUAACUAAAAAUGUUCGUUCCACCAUAUUAUUAGGUGUUUGAACGAGAGAGAUUGAAUGGGCACUAUGGUAUUUCUGCUUUUCUAAUUGGCAACAUAUUAUCUGCUAUUCCUUACAUGCUAAUGAUCUCUCUCAUUUCCGGAGUAAUAAUUUGUUACCUUUCUGGACUGCACAAAGGACUAGAGCACUAUUUAUACUUUGCUUCUAUCCUAUUUGCCAUUAUGAUGUGGGUUGAGAGUCUUAUGAUGGUUGUGGGGAGUAUCUUCCCAAAUUAUGUGAUGGGUGUGAUCAUUGCUGGUGGAGUUGAAGGACUUGCAAUUUUAACAGGUGGAUUUUAUCGACAUCCUAAUGAUCUUCCAAAGCCAUUAUGGAAGUACCCUUGCUACUACAUUUCCUUUCUCACAUAUGCUAUACAAGGAUCAUUCAAGAAUGAAUUUGAAGGCUUAACAUUUGCUGGGUAUCAAGAUGGAGGUACCACAACUGUUAGUGGUAAAGAUAUACUAACUGGGACAUGGCAUGUGCAAAUGGGUCACUCUAAGUGGGUUGAUCUUGUUAUCAUGUUUGGAAUGAUUGUUGUUUAUCGAGUUCUAUUCUUGGUCAUUAAUAAGGUCAAGGAGAAGUCAAAACCCACUCCUACCAUCAAUGGACCCAGAGCAAAAACUUUUUCUAGAACCAAUAUGGAUGAACCCUAAAUAAUGUUCCACAUAGAUCAUAUGGGAUAUAUAUGACAAUAUUAUGAAAAAUGCAUCUUAAAAUAUUAUACCUGUACUUUGGGUGUGGGUUGUUUAGCUCAAGUAAUAAAGAGUGCUAUGUUAAAUUUGUAAUGACUCAAAGCAACAAUUUCCAAAAUUCUACAAUAAUGAAGGAAAAAUUCAGUUCAAUAUUUGUUGGAAGUAUCUAUAUAAAGAGAUAAUAAUGUAUAUUGAGAGAUUAACAUGUUUCAUUAUCAUCGUGACAUGUAUCAGACAUAAGAAAACUUUUGCCAACCUGCCAAUUACUAUACGCACAGCUGCCCAAGCUGGAUCCACAUUUCCCCGCAGGAAUAGGGUCUUCCCAAUUCAUCGGAGGCCUUCCAUGCCCUCAGCCUCUAGUUCCCCAAUUCAUCGGAGGCCUUCCAUUAAAGCACAUACAUUAAUCAAUUGAGAUUGUAGUGAAAGCUAAAUAUAAUUUUUCAAAGUAAUAAAUCUAUUCAUAAAAUAUGAGAAUCAAUUCAUAUAGAAGGAAUAACCCUGGAACUAGAGCCAAUUAGCGUUUACUUGAAUCAAUUCACAAAGUGAUCCACAGCAGGUGAAUUGAUUCAAAGUGUUCAUCAAUUCACAAAUCAUAAAGCUUAAAUUCUCAAGUUAUGCAUAAUUUCCUGGCAACUACAUACACCAAAAUAUUCCAUGCUAUUGACUUAAAAAUAGUAUACCUAAAUGGUUUGACAUCAAACACAGGAGAUUCAUGAAAAAUUAUCUCUAAUCAUCAUAACUUAGGGUUCAUAGAAAACAAUAUCACAUAUUCAAAUGUCAACAGGUUAAUAGAAAUUGACACAAUAACUAGUUCAAAAUUCGAGUUUAUCAUUCACCAAUAGUAUUGAUGGAGCACAAAAAGUAGAGAAGAACUCACAUGUAUGCAAAAAAGUGAGAAAAGCUUCACGAUGCAAUGGUGGAAAUGGAAUCAUAAGCUAUUUUUUGCGCGCAUGCAAUGCAACAGAGGAGAGAAUGAGUGGGUUAAUAUAAAAAUCUCUA
This 3909-nucleotide long non-coding RNA is filed under the name Trifolium pratense (red clover). RNAcentral's name for it is "long non-coding RNA (TPRA_LNC001425)". Lineage: Eukaryota; Viridiplantae; Streptophyta; Magnoliopsida; Fabales; Fabaceae. The record is from RNAcentral.